This is a long non-coding RNA of Neoarius graeffei (lesser salmon catfish), 371 nucleotides long. RefSeq lists it as uncharacterized. Lineage: Eukaryota; Metazoa; Chordata; Actinopteri; Siluriformes; Ariidae. The transcript has 3 exons. The record is from RefSeq and is a predicted model, not a curated record.
AACAAUCACGGACUACAGUCAUGGCUGACGUAGACAUCAACUUCCAACAGCAGGAAGGCAAUUUAUUUCUGGUGACAGAGGACUCAUGAGAGACAGCAGGCCGUCAGAGGCUGGUGGCAAUGGGAGGAGAAAAAAAAAUCUCGCAGGCCAAGUGAAGAGAGACAGCUAUUAGUGCUACACAUGCCACUCCUGAGAUACCAGUGGAGCUGCUCUCGGGACCUGCCUGAUCCAUCCUGAUGUUCCCAUCACUUUGCUCCUGUGAAUGAUGGCCUCAUAUGGACAGCAAGAUCCACCUUGCUGAUGGCUUUGGACAAUUAACAUAAACAGCUUUGCUACAAUGGCUGAGGACAACAAUUGCCACGAUAGCUUUU